RNAcentral lists this small nuclear RNA (106 nucleotides) under Ochotona princeps (American pika). Lineage: Eukaryota; Metazoa; Chordata; Mammalia; Lagomorpha; Ochotonidae. The record is from RNAcentral.
GUGCUCGCUUGGGCAGCACGUAUACUAAAAUUGGAAUGAUACAGAGAAGAUUAGCACGGCCCUGUGCAAGGAUGACACGCGAAUUCGUGAAGCGUUACAUAUUAAA